UAGAUACCCGGGUAGUCCUAGGUGUAAACGCUGUGGACUUGAUGUUGGGGGUGCUCCGAGCACUCUCAGUGUCGAAGCGAAGGUGAUAAGUCCACUGCCUGGGAAGUACGGUCGCAAGGCUGAAACUUAAAGGAAUUGGCGGGGGAGCACCGCAACCUGAGGAUUGUGCGGUUUAAUUGGAUUCAACGCCGGAAAACUCACCAUAGCCGACGGACAUAUGAAGGUCAGUGUAAUGAACUUACCCGAUUGUUCGAGAGGUAGUGCAUGGCCGCCGUCAG
This 278-nucleotide ribosomal RNA is filed under the name uncultured bacterium. RNAcentral's name for it is "partial 16S ribosomal RNA". It matches the Rfam family "Archaeal small subunit ribosomal RNA", at positions 730 to 1007 of the family's 1478-position model. The record is from RNAcentral.